This 1017-nucleotide ribosomal RNA is filed under the name Halobyssothecium phragmitis. Its description in RNAcentral is "SSU rRNA". It matches the Rfam family "Eukaryotic small subunit ribosomal RNA", at positions 80 to 1103 of the family's 1831-position model. The record is from RNAcentral. Lineage: Eukaryota; Fungi; Ascomycota; Dothideomycetes; Pleosporales; Lentitheciaceae.
CCGUGAACUGCGAAUGGCUCAUUAAAUCAGUUAUCGUUUAUUUGAUAGUACCUUACUACUUGGAUAACCGUGGUAAUUCUAGAGCUAAUACAUGCUGAAAACCCCGACUUCGGAAGGGGUGUAUUUAUUAGAUAAAAAACCAAUGCCCUUCGGGGCUCCUUGGUGAUUCAUAAUAACUUCUCAGAUCGCAUGGCCUUGCGCCGGCGACGGUUCAUUCAAAUUUCUGCCCUAUCAACUUUCGAUGGUAAGGUAUUGGCUUACCAUGGUUUCAACGGGUAACGGGGAAUUAGGGUUCGAUUCCGGAGAGGGAGCCUGAGAAACGGCUACCACAUCCAAGGAAGGCAGCAGGCGCGCAAAUUACCCAAUCCCGACACGGGGAGGUAGUGACAAUAAAUACUGAUACAGGGCUCUUUUGGGUCUUGUAAUUGGAAUGAGUACAAUUUAAACCUCUUAACGAGGAACAAUUGGAGGGCAAGUCUGGUGCCAGCAGCCGCGGUAAUUCCAGCUCCAAUAGCGUAUAUUAAAGUUGUUGCAGUUAAAAAGCUCGUAGUUGAACCUUUGGCCUGGCUGGCAGGUCCGCCUCACCGCGUGCACUUGUCCGGCCGGGCCUUCUCUUCUGGAGAACCGCAUGCCCUUCACUGGGUGUGUUGGGGACCAGGACUUUUACUUUGAAAAAAUUAGAGUGUUCAAAGCAGGCCUUUGCUCGAAUACGUUAGCAUGGAAUAAUAGAAUAGGACGUGCGGUCCUAUUUUUGUUGGUUUCUAAGGACCGCCGUAAUGAUUAAUAGGGGACAGUCGGGGGCAUCAGUAUUCAAUUGUCAGAGGUGAAAUUCUUGGAUUUAUUGAAGACUAACUACUGCGAAAGCAUUUGCCAAGGAUGUUUUCAUUAAUCAGUGAACGAAAGUUAGGGGAUCGAAGACGAUCAGAUACCGUCGUAGUCUUAACCAUAAACUAUGCCGACUAGGGAUCGGGCGGUGUUAUUAUUUUGACUCGCUCGGCACCUUACGAGAAAUCAAAG